GACAGAGGACGCAAGCGUUGUUCGGAAUUAUUGGGCUUAAAGCGCGUGUAGGCGGCCGCGUAAGUGCUUUGUGAAAGUCCACGGCUCAACCGUGGAAUUGCAGGGCAUACUGCGCCGAUUGAGGUCGGUAGAGGUGGCCGGAACUCUAGGUGGAGCGGUGAAAUGCGUAGAUAUCUAGAGGAACGCCGGAGGCGAAAGCGGGCCACUGGUCCGAUUCUGACGCUGAGACGCGAAAGCGUGGGGAGCAAACAGG
This 253-nucleotide ribosomal RNA is filed under the name uncultured bacterium. RNAcentral's name for it is "partial 16S ribosomal RNA". It matches the Rfam family "Bacterial small subunit ribosomal RNA", at positions 524 to 776 of the family's 1533-position model. The record is from RNAcentral.